RNAcentral lists this non-coding RNA (25 nucleotides) under Rattus norvegicus (Norway rat). The record is from RNAcentral. Lineage: Eukaryota; Metazoa; Chordata; Mammalia; Rodentia; Muridae.
UUUAUUUUGCUGGGAGGUCCCAAAC